This 433-nucleotide ribosomal RNA is filed under the name uncultured bacterium. RNAcentral describes it as "partial 16S ribosomal RNA". It matches the Rfam family "Bacterial small subunit ribosomal RNA", at positions 29 to 507 of the family's 1533-position model. The record is from RNAcentral.
GCGCACGCUGGCGGCAGGCCUAACCCAUGCAAGUCGAACGAACCUUUCGGGGUUAGUGGCGGACGGGUGAGUAACACGUGGGAACGUGCCUUUAGGUUCGGAAUAACUCAGGGAAACUUGUGCUAAUACCGAAUGUGCCCUUCGGGGGAAAGAUUUAUCGCCUUUAGAGCGGCCCGCGUCUGAUUAGCUAGUUGGUUGAGGUAAUGGCUCACCAAGGCGACGAUCAGUAGCUGGUCUGAGAGGAUGAUCAGCCACAUUGGGACUGAGACACGGCCCAAACUCCUACGGGAGGCAGCAGUGGGGAAUCUUGCGCAUUGGGCGAAAGCCUGACGCAGCCAUGCCGCGUGAAUGAUGAAGGUCUUAGGAUUGUAAAAUUCUUUCACCGGGGACGAUAAUGACGGUACCCGGAGAAGAAGCCCCGGCUAACUUCGUG